RNAcentral lists this long non-coding RNA (902 nucleotides) under Citrus sinensis (sweet orange). RNAcentral's name for it is "long non-coding RNA (CSIN_LNC000969)". The record is from RNAcentral. Lineage: Eukaryota; Viridiplantae; Streptophyta; Magnoliopsida; Sapindales; Rutaceae.
AUGGCCUCUAUUGAUUUCUUCCUUGGCAUUUUUGCUCAUAGCCACUACUGCCACGGCUGCUUAUGAGCCUUACAUUUAUGCCUCACCACCUCCACCGCCUUACUAUUACAAGUCACCACCACCACCAGAAUAUUCUCCACCACCACCUUACUACUACAAAUCUCCACCACCACCUGAGAAGUCUCCCCCGCCACCUUACUACUAUCACUCACCACCUCCUCCUAAGAAGUCACCCCCACCACCUUACUACUAUAAGUCUCCGCCUCCGCCGAAGGAAUAUCCCCCACCACCUUACUACUACAAGUCUCCGCCACCACCGGAGAAGUAUACCCCGCCACCUUACUACUACAAGUCUCCGCCCCCACCCGAGAAGUAUACCCCGCCACCUUACUACUACAAGUCACCGCCCCCUCCGCCACCUUACUACUACAAGUCUCCGCCACCACCGGAGAAGUAUACCCCGCCACCUUACUACUACAAGUCACCGCCCCCACCCGAGAAGUAUACCCCGCCACCUUACUACUACAAGUCACCGCCCCCACCGGAGAAGUAUCCCCCUCCACCUUACUACUACAAGUCACCGCCCCCACCGGAGAAGUAUCCCCCUCCACCUUACUACUACAAGUCACCGCCCCCACCAGAGAAGUAUCCCCCUCCACCUUACUACUACAAGUCACCGCCCCCACCAGAGAAGUAUCCCCCUCCACCUUACUACUACAAGUCACCGCCCCCACCAGAGAAGUAUCCCCCUCCACCUUACUACUACAAGUCACCACCGCCACCAGAGAAGUAUCCCCCUCCACCUUACUACUACAAGUCACCACCGCCACCACCUUAUUAUUAGAAGUCUCCUCCACCUCCCUCUCCAUCUCCACCCCCUCCAUACUACUAUAAGUCGCCAC